GCCCAAAGUCGCACGAGCCUGUGGGCGUCCCCCGAUCCUCAAAUGCGAGGUCAUCGGGACGGUCCUGGAGAGAGCCUCCAGUCGGUUUCGCAGCCAGCGAAGUCGAGGACGCCUUAAAGCAACGACGGUGCGGGCCUUU
RNAcentral lists this small RNA (139 nucleotides) under Aureimonas sp. Leaf454. RNAcentral describes it as "Alphaproteobacterial sRNA ar45". It matches the Rfam family "Alphaproteobacterial sRNA ar45". Lineage: Bacteria; Pseudomonadati; Pseudomonadota; Alphaproteobacteria; Hyphomicrobiales; Aurantimonadaceae. The record is from Rfam by way of RNAcentral.